This 497-nucleotide ribosomal RNA is filed under the name uncultured bacterium. Its description in RNAcentral is "partial 16S ribosomal RNA". It matches the Rfam family "Bacterial small subunit ribosomal RNA", at positions 28 to 507 of the family's 1533-position model. The record is from RNAcentral.
GAUGAACGCUGGCGGCGUGCCUAAUACAUGCAAGUCGAGCGAACGGACGAGAAGCUUGCUUCUCUGAUGUUAGCGGCGGACGGGGGAGUAACACGUGGAUAACCUACCUAUAAGACUGGGAUAACUUCGGGAAACCGGAGCUAAUGCCGGAUAAUAUUUUGAACCGCAUGGUUCAAAAGUGAAAGACGGUCUUGCUGUCACUUAUAGAUGGAUCCGCGCUGCAUUAGCUAGUUGGUAAGGUAACGGCUUACCAAGGCAACGAUGCAUAGCCGACCUGAGAGAGUGACGGGCCACAGGGGAGCGGAGACAACGACCAGACCCGUAAGUGAGGCAGCAGCAGGGAACCUGCGGGAAGGGGCGGAAGGGUGACGUAGCAACGCGGCGCGAGUGAUGACGGGCUUCGGAGCGUGAAGCACGGCUACUAGGGAGUAACAAAUUUCUAAGGAACGGGACAAAACCAGACGGUACCUGACGAAUAAGCCACGGCUAACUACGUG